UAGGGAAUCUUCGGCAAUGGACGAAAGUCUGACCGAGCAACGCCGCGUGAGUGAAGAAGGUUUUCGGAUCGUAAAACUCUGUUGUUAGAGAAGAACAAGGACGUUAGUAACUGAACGUCCCCUGACGGUAUCUAACCAGAAAGCCACGGCUAACUACGUGCCAGCAGCCGCGGUAAUACGUAGGUGGCAAGCGUUGUCCGGAUUUAUUGGGCGUAAAGCGAGCGCAGGCGGUUUCUUAAGUCUGAUGUGAAAGCCCCCGGCUGAACCGGGGAGGGUCAUUGGGAACUGGGAGACUUGAGUGCAGAAGAGGAGAGUGGAAUUCCAUGUGUAGCGGUGAAAUGCGUAGAUAUAUGGAGGAAAACCAGUGGCGAAGGCGGCUCUCUGGUCUGUAACUGACGCUGAGGCUCGAAAGCGUGGGGAGCAAACAGG
RNAcentral lists this ribosomal RNA (429 nucleotides) under Gemmatimonadota bacterium. RNAcentral's name for it is "Gemmatimonadetes bacterium partial 16S ribosomal RNA". It matches the Rfam family "Bacterial small subunit ribosomal RNA", at positions 355 to 776 of the family's 1533-position model. The record is from RNAcentral. Lineage: Bacteria; Pseudomonadati; Gemmatimonadota.